RNAcentral lists this ribosomal RNA (447 nucleotides) under uncultured soil bacterium. RNAcentral's name for it is "bacterial SSU rRNA". It matches the Rfam family "Bacterial small subunit ribosomal RNA", at positions 26 to 518 of the family's 1533-position model. The record is from RNAcentral.
AGAACGAACGCUGGCGGCAGGCUUAACACAUGCAAGUCGAACGGUUGUAGCAAUACAGCAGUGGCAGACGGGUGAGUAACACGUGGGAACCUUCCUAGGGGUACGGAACAACUCAGGGAAACUUGAGCUAAUACCGUAUACGUCCGUGAGGAGAAAGUUUUAACGCCCCUAGACGGGCCCGCGUAGGAUUAGGUAGUUGGUGAGGUAACGGCUCACCAAGCCUACGAUCCUUAGCUGAUCUGAGGGGAUGAUCAGCCACACUGGGACUGAGACACGGCCCAGACUCCUACGGGAGGCAGCAGUGGGGAAUCUUGGACAAUGGGCGCAAGCCUGAUCCAGCCAUGCCGCGUGAGUGAAGAAGGCCUUCGGGUUGUAAGCUCUUUUACCAGGACGAUAAUGACGGUACCUGGAGAAGUAAGCCCCGGCAAACUUCGUGCCAGCAGCCGC